Molecule: ribosomal RNA, 301 nt
Filed under: uncultured bacterium
Lineage: Bacteria
Description: partial 16S ribosomal RNA
Rfam family: Bacterial small subunit ribosomal RNA
Source: RNAcentral
CAGUAGCCACGGUAAUACGAAGGGUGCAAGCGUUAAUCGGAAUUACUGGGCGUAAAGCGUGCGUAGGCGGUUUGUUAAGUCUGUUGUGAAAUCCCCGGGCUCAACCUGGGAAUGGCAAUGGAUACUGGCAAGCUAGAGUGUGUCAGAGGAUGGUGGAAUUCCCGGUGUAGCGGUGAAAUGCGUAGAGAUCGGGAGGAACAUCAGUGGCGAAGGCGGCCAUCUGGGACAACACUGACGCUGAGGCACGAAAGCGUGGGGAGCAAACAGGAUUAGAUACCCGUGUAGUCCCUGUCUCUUAUAC